This 229-nucleotide ribosomal RNA is filed under the name uncultured bacterium. RNAcentral's name for it is "partial 16S ribosomal RNA". It matches the Rfam family "Bacterial small subunit ribosomal RNA", at positions 568 to 796 of the family's 1533-position model. The record is from RNAcentral.
UGCGUAGGCGGAAUAUUAAGUCAGUGGUGAAAUCCUGCGGCUCAACCGUAGAACUGCCAUUGAUACUGAUAUUCUUGAAUGUAGUUGAGGUAGGCGGAAUGUGUAAUGUAGCGGUGAAAUGCUUAGAUAUUACACAGAACACCGAUUGCGAAGGCAGUUUACUAAACUAUGAUUGACGCUGAGGCACGAAAGCGUGGGGAGCGAACAGGAUUAGAUACCCUGGUAGUCC